AGUCAAUAAGUUUUAAGCAAACUUAUACUUUGAAAGUAUAGAAUGAAAGUUAAAUUCUUUCAUUGACUU
RNAcentral lists this transfer RNA (69 nucleotides) under Megacopta bituminata. Its description in RNAcentral is "tRNA-Ser". It matches the Rfam family "tRNA". From Rfam's summary of the family: Transfer RNA (tRNA) molecules are approximately 80 nucleotides in length. Lineage: Eukaryota; Metazoa; Arthropoda; Insecta; Hemiptera; Plataspidae. The record is from RNAcentral.